This 597-nucleotide long non-coding RNA is filed under the name Gossypium barbadense (sea-island cotton). RNAcentral's name for it is "long non-coding RNA (GBAR_LNC014426)". Lineage: Eukaryota; Viridiplantae; Streptophyta; Magnoliopsida; Malvales; Malvaceae. The record is from RNAcentral.
CAAUUCCGUGCUAGUAGCUUUUCUUUCCUUCUUCCUAGGCCAAUGGAGAAAAUUCUUCAGUCGUCUCGCAGUAUGAUUUACGGAGCUUGACUUCUUAGUAUCAAACGAAGUACUCAAGUUCAAGUCGCUUAGUUCACUCAGGCAUGAGCUAUAUUCCACGCUUUCUUUAUCACAACCUGCAUCGUAUGUAUUCUCCAAACCGGUGUACAAAAAUAUCUCUGCAUCAGGGACUCUGAAUGAUGUUCCAGGACUUGCACCUACACCGUGCUCCUUCAGAUGAGGAACAAGAGCACUCCUUGCUACAUUGUCUUGACAAUUAGAGAUUCCUCCAGCUGCAAUUAGUUCUUUGAUUAAAAUUUCCGAAGAUGCAGAUUUAGGCCUUCUCUUGAGGAGAUCUAACGGGGUCAAGCCAUCAACAUCACAAACAUUCAGGUCAAUAGAUGGCACGGACAUGAGUAGUUCCACCAGACUAGACUGAACAUUCUCAGUUACGGCCAUAUGCAAAGCAGUUCUUCCAUCCAAGUUUCUCACAUUGAUGAUAUCUCGAAUGUCGACAACCUCACCGCAUACUAAUUGCUUCAUCAGCUCGAUCUGCCG